AUUGAACGCUGGCGGCAUGCUUUACACAUGCAAGUCGAACGGCAGCGCGGGGCAACCUGGCGGCGAGUGGCGAACGGGUGAGUAAUACAUCGGAACGUACCCAGAAGUGGGGGAUAACGUAGCGAAAGUUACGCUAAUACCGCAUACGUUCUACGGAAGGAAGUGGGGGACCUUUGGGCCUCAUGCUUUUGGAGCGGCCGAUGUCUGAUUAGCUAGUUGGUGAGGUAAAGGCUUACCAAGGCGACGAUCAGUAGCUGGUCUGAGAGGACGACCAGCCACACUGGGACUGAGACACGGCCCAGACUCCUACGGGAGGCAGCAGUGGGGAAUUUUGGACAAUGGGCGCAAGCCUGAUCCAGCAAUGCCGCGUGAGUGAAGAAGGCCUUCGGGUUGUAAAGCUCUUUUGUCAGGGAAGAAACGGCUGGGGUUAAUACCUUCGGCUAAUGACGGUACCUGAAGAAUAAGCACCGGCUAACUACGUGCCAGCCGCCGCCGUAA
RNAcentral lists this ribosomal RNA (498 nucleotides) under uncultured bacterium. Its description in RNAcentral is "partial 16S ribosomal RNA". It matches the Rfam family "Bacterial small subunit ribosomal RNA", at positions 30 to 523 of the family's 1533-position model. The record is from RNAcentral.